This 609-nucleotide small RNA is filed under the name Histoplasma capsulatum. RNAcentral's name for it is "hypothetical RNA". The record is from RNAcentral. RNAcentral also lists the same sequence under 1 other name. Lineage: Eukaryota; Fungi; Ascomycota; Eurotiomycetes; Onygenales; Ajellomycetaceae.
GGGGCUUCUGCUGCUGCUGCUGCUGCUGCUGCUGGUGGUGGUGGCGGACGAGGAAGAGCUCUGGAGGGCCAUGAGGUACUGCGUUUCUGGGACUGCUGCUGGCUUUGAAGGAGGACAUAUGUAGUAGAGGGUCUGGCCGUGCAGGGUUGCCAGGGUUAUGUCCUGAGCCAUGUCCAGAGUUGGGUAAGCAGGUAGGAUGUAUUUCAACAUGCUGGGUAUCAUGACAGGUCCGAUGAAGAAUAUCGGUGGGUUAUUUUGGAGGCUCUGGGAGAGCUCUUUUGGAGUGAAAUUGUUGGUUGGGACGCGGAGGUAGGAGGCGAGAUACGGGGUGGUGUGUGGUGGGGAUAUCGGGCAUAGGCGAUCAGGGAUAUCGUGGUCCGCAGUGGCAUCAUCCUUCUUUUCUUUCUCCAGAAGUGCCAUGGGUUUCUUGUGAGAAGCUGAUUCAUAAAAGAGAAACGACAGUUGAAUAUAGGAAGUUCACUUCAACUUCCCUCUAAAAGUAUUUCGCGGGUUGGUAGCAUGUUUAUAUACAAAUACAUAUAUAUACCUGAGCAAAUAGAGAAAAGUAAUGCGUGUGAAGGAAGCAAUAAGAAAAGAAAUUAUAGAGAA